GGCUUAAAAAACAACCAAAAACAAAAAAGAAAUCCGUCGAACCGGAUUCGAACCAGUGACCUAAGGAUACCUGCUGACUCUACAGUCCUCCGCUCUACCAACUGAGCUAUCGACGGCACGGAGG
Molecule: transfer RNA, 124 nt
Filed under: Caenorhabditis elegans
Lineage: Eukaryota; Metazoa; Nematoda; Chromadorea; Rhabditida; Rhabditidae
Description: Unclassified non-coding RNA F56F10.10
Source: RNAcentral